This 30-nucleotide small RNA is filed under the name Bombyx mori (domestic silkworm). RNAcentral's name for it is "ovarian small RNA-24526". The record is from RNAcentral. Lineage: Eukaryota; Metazoa; Arthropoda; Insecta; Lepidoptera; Bombycidae.
UCAACAAAUAGCAAUGGCAACAAAGUCCAU